Molecule: ribosomal RNA, 301 nt
Filed under: uncultured bacterium
Lineage: Bacteria
Description: partial 16S ribosomal RNA
Rfam family: Bacterial small subunit ribosomal RNA
Source: RNAcentral
CAGUCGCCGCGGUAAUACGAAGGGGGCUAGCGUUGCUCGGAAUUACUGGGCGUAAAGGGAGCGUAGGCGGACUGUUUAGUCAGAGGUGAAAGCCCAGGGCUCAACCUUGGAAUUGCCUUUGAUACUGGCAGUCUUGAGUACGGAAGAGGUAUGUGGAACUCCGAGUGUAGAGGUGAAAUUCGUAGAUAUUCGGAAGAACACCAGUGGCGAAGGCGACAUACUGGUCCGUUACUGACGCUGAGGCUCGAAAGUGUGGGGAGCAAACAGGAUUAGAUACCCCGGUAGUCCCUGUCUCUUAUAC